This 60-nucleotide transfer RNA is filed under the name Hymenolepis diminuta. RNAcentral's name for it is "tRNA-Arg". Lineage: Eukaryota; Metazoa; Platyhelminthes; Cestoda; Cyclophyllidea; Hymenolepididae. The record is from RNAcentral.
GACAUGUAUAAAUGCUUAUGUUACGGCCAUAAGAUGGACAGCUUAGAUUGUCAUAUGUUU